RNAcentral lists this transfer RNA (75 nucleotides) under Mycobacterium sp. RNAcentral's name for it is "tRNA-Val". It matches the Rfam family "tRNA". Rfam says of the family: Transfer RNA (tRNA) molecules are approximately 80 nucleotides in length. Their secondary structure includes four short double-helical elements and three loops (D, anti-codon, and T loops). The record is from RNAcentral. RNAcentral also lists the same sequence under 7 other names. Lineage: Bacteria; Bacillati; Actinomycetota; Actinomycetes; Mycobacteriales; Mycobacteriaceae.
GCGCGCGUAGCUCAGCGGUAGAGCACUACCUUGACAUGGUAGGGGUCACAGGUUCGAUCCCUGUCGCGCGCACCA